RNAcentral lists this ribosomal RNA (382 nucleotides) under uncultured bacterium. RNAcentral's name for it is "bacterial SSU rRNA". It matches the Rfam family "Bacterial small subunit ribosomal RNA", at positions 30 to 416 of the family's 1533-position model. The record is from RNAcentral.
AUUGAACGCUGGCGGCAUGCCUUACACAUGCAAGUCGAACGGCAGCACGGGAGCAAUCCUGGUGGCGAGUGGCGAACGGGUGAGUAAUAUAUCGGAACGUGCCCAGUCGUGGGGAUAACGUAGCGAAAGCUACGCUAAUACCGCAUACGAUCUAUGGAUGAAAGCGGGGGAUCGCAAGACCUCGCGCGAUUGGAGCGGCCGAUAUCAGAUUAGGUAGUUGGUGAGGUAAGGCUCACCAAGCCGACGAUCUGUAGCUGGUCAGAGAGGACGACCAGCCACACUGGGACUGAGACACGGCCCAGACUCCUACGGGAGCAGCAGUGGGAAUUUUGGACAAUGGGCGCAAGCCUGAUCCAGCAAUGCCGCGUGCAGGAUGAAGGCC